RNAcentral lists this RNase P RNA (307 nucleotides) under human gut metagenome. Its description in RNAcentral is "Bacterial RNase P class A". It matches the Rfam family "Bacterial RNase P class A". Rfam says of the family: Ribonuclease P (RNase P) is a ubiquitous endoribonuclease, found in archaea, bacteria and eukarya as well as chloroplasts and mitochondria. Its best characterised activity is the generation of mature 5'-ends of tRNAs by cleaving the 5'-leader elements of precursor-tRNAs. The record is from RNAcentral.
CCGAACGGUUGCGUCGCAAGACGAGGAAAGUCCGAACACCGCAGGACAGGAUGCCGGCUAACUACCGGUGAAGGCGACUUCAAGGAAAGUGCAACAGAAAUAAACCGCCGUCUUUUGGCGGCAAGGAUGGAAAGGCAGUGUAAGAGACUACCGCUUCCGCGGCGACGCGGAAGGCUCUGUAAACCCCAUCCGGUGCAAGAUUCGGGAGGUUGUAGGUUGUCCGCCGACUCCCGCACAUCGCUCGAGCACGCCGGCAACGGCGCGCCCAGACAGAUAACCGUUCUCGACAGAAUUCGGCUUACAGGUC